RNAcentral lists this transfer RNA (101 nucleotides) under Pseudomonas sp. RtIB026. Its description in RNAcentral is "tRNA-His". The record is from RNAcentral. Lineage: Bacteria; Pseudomonadati; Pseudomonadota; Gammaproteobacteria; Pseudomonadales; Pseudomonadaceae.
CGUGUUGCUGGUGGAGCUGGAAGAGCCGGACGACGCCAUGAAUGUCGCGGUCAAGCAGGUCAACCUGAUGGCCAGGCCGUUCCGCGUGGCCGAGCACGACC